Molecule: ribosomal RNA, 497 nt
Filed under: uncultured bacterium
Lineage: Bacteria
Description: partial 16S ribosomal RNA
Rfam family: Bacterial small subunit ribosomal RNA
Source: RNAcentral
GAUGAACGCUGGCGGCGUGCCUAAUACAUGCAAGUCGAGCGAACAGACGAGGAGCUUGCUCCUCUGACGUUAGCGGCGGACGGGUGAGUAACACGUGGAUAACCUACCUAUAAGACUGGGAUAACUUCGGGAAACCGGAGCUAAUACCAGAUAAUAUAUUGAACCGCAUGGUUCAAUAGUGAAAGACGGUUUUGCUGUCACUUAUAGAUGGAUCCGCGCCGCAUUAGCUAGUUGGUAAGGUAACGGCUUACCAAGGCAACGAUGCGUAGCCGACCUGAGAGGGUGAUCGGCCAAACUGGAACUGAGACAAGGUCCAGACUCCUACGGGAGGCAGCAGUAGGGAAUCUUCCGCAAUGGGCGGAAGCCUGACGGAGCAACGCCGCGUGAGGGAUGAAGGUCUUCGGAUCGUUAAACUCUGUUAUUAGGGAAGAACAAAUGUGUAAGUAACUAUGCACGUCUUGACGGUACCUAAUCAGAAAGCCACGGCUAACUACGUG